This 92-nucleotide transfer RNA is filed under the name Hypoxylon sp. CI-4A. Its description in RNAcentral is "tRNA-Glu". It matches the Rfam family "tRNA". Rfam says of the family: Transfer RNA (tRNA) molecules are approximately 80 nucleotides in length. Their secondary structure includes four short double-helical elements and three loops (D, anti-codon, and T loops). Lineage: Eukaryota; Fungi; Ascomycota; Sordariomycetes; Xylariales; Hypoxylaceae. The record is from RNAcentral.
UCCGAAUUGGUGUAGUGGCUAACAUUUGACGCUCUCAUGGUUCAACGACCUGGCGAUCCGUCAAGCCCGGGGUUCGAUUCCCCGAUUCGGAG